CUACGGGGGGCAGCAGUGGGGAAUAUUGCACAAUGGACGAAAGUCUGAUGCAGUAACGCCGCGUGGAGGAUGACACAUUUCGGUGCGUAAACUCCUUUUAUAUGAGAAGAUAAUGACGGUAUCAUAUGAAUAAGCACCGGCUAACUCCGUGCCAGCAGCCGCGGUAAUACGGGGGGUGCAAGCGUUACUCGGAAUCACUGGGCGUAAAGAGCAUGUAGGUGGAUUAAUAAGUUGGAAGUGAAAUCCUAUAGCUUAACUAUAGAACUGCUUCCAAAACUGUUGAUCUAGAAUGUGGGAGAGGUAGAUGGAAUUUCUGGUGUAGGGGUAAAAUCCGUAGAGAUCAGAAGGAAUACCGAUUGCGAAGGCGAUCUACUGGAACACUAUUGACACUCAGAUGCGAAAGCGUGGGGAGCAAACAGGAUUAGAUACCCCCGUAGUC
RNAcentral lists this ribosomal RNA (439 nucleotides) under uncultured bacterium. RNAcentral describes it as "partial 16S ribosomal RNA". It matches the Rfam family "Bacterial small subunit ribosomal RNA", at positions 339 to 795 of the family's 1533-position model. The record is from RNAcentral.